This is a non-coding RNA of Labrus mixtus (cuckoo wrasse), 784 nucleotides long. NCBI's taxonomy places the organism in Eukaryota, Metazoa, Chordata, Actinopteri, Labriformes, Labridae. The record is from the annotation of a RefSeq genome assembly.
UUUAUGUUUAAAGAUGCUUUCAGUAUAUUUAAGUCAGUUUGUGACUUUGUUUCUGCUCACAUUAACAGGUGUUAUCUGUGAUGAUCUCACUCCAGUCAAGAAUGAAGUGUUCGGUUCAGAAGACAGCACUAUAACUCUGUCCUACAGAUACUCCAAGACUGUUUCUAGUGGUGAUGAUUUCUUCUGGUAUCAACAACAUCCAGGAAAACCACCAGAGUUUAUUCUGUAUAUCUCUGGGCGUAAUUCUUCAAGACCAGCAGACUCUCUCAAAUCAGACUCAGAGUUCUCGACUAAGGUGUCUGGAAAGAACCAUCUGGAUCUACAGAUCUCCUCUGCUGCACUGACUGACUCUGCUGUGUACUACUGUGCUCUGAGGCCCACAGUGACAGGAAACACCACAACUCUGUACAAAAACCUCUGGAGAGAAGACAACACAAUACUCCACAACAUCCACUAGAGGGAGUCACACUCUGAUAAACUUUAGUUGUAUGUGUUGAUACAGUCUAGAUUCUUUCCCCUCAUGAUACAGUUGUGAUAAAACUCUUCAGAAAUGAAAAUGAUUUGAUAUGAGUCUCCUCCUACUGACUGCAGAGGAGCCUUAUGACAGAGAACUGGGUCUUUGUAAUAUAACAAUGAGUAAGGUCUUUUACCUGCUCUUUUGUAAAGUGUCUUCAGAUAACAUUUGUUAUGAAUUGGUGCUAUACAAAUAAAGAUUGAUUGAGAACUCUUUUAAUCAAGCUGUGAACAUCAGACCGAACAACUCAGCACCAACUCAUACUAGUUC